CUGAGUUGCAAAACUCCAACCCUUUGUCAUUCUUUACUCUGUCAGUUGCCUCGGUGGGCGGCCCCAGGGCGGGCUCGCGUCCGCCUGCCGAAGGCCCAACUACAAAAACUCUUUUAUAUCUAGUAUCUUCUGAAAAACAUAACAAAAUAAGUUA
Molecule: unclassified non-coding RNA, 154 nt
Filed under: uncultured Sordariomycetes
Lineage: Eukaryota; Fungi; Ascomycota; Sordariomycetes
Description: sequence contains ITS1
Source: RNAcentral